Molecule: ribosomal RNA, 618 nt
Filed under: uncultured bacterium
Lineage: Bacteria
Description: bacterial SSU rRNA
Rfam family: Bacterial small subunit ribosomal RNA
Source: RNAcentral
ACUCCUACGGGAGGCAGCAGUGGGGAAUAUUGGACAAUGGGCGCAAGCCUGAUCCAGCCAUACCGCGUGGGUGAAGAAGGCCUUCGGGUUGUAAAGCCCUUUUGUUGGGAAAGAAAUCCAGCUGGCUAAUACCCGGUUGGGAUGACGGUACCCAAAGAAUAAGCACCGGCUAACUUCGUGCCAGCAGCCGCGGUAAUACGAAGGGUGCAAGCGUUACUCGGAAUUACUGGGCGUAAAGCGUGCGUAGGUGGUCGUUUAAGUCCGUUGUGAAAGCCCUGGGCUCAACCUGGGAACUGCAGUGGAUACUGGACGACUAGAGUGUGGUAGAGGGUAGCGGAAUUCCUGGUGUAGCAGUGAAAUGCGUAGAGAUCAGGAGGAACAUCCAUGGCGAAGGCAGCUACCUGGACCAACACUGACACUGAGGCACGAAAGCGUGGGGAGCAAACAGGAUUAGAUACCCUGGUAGUCCACGCCCUAAACGAUGCGAACUGGAUGUUGGGUGCAAUUUGGCACGCAGUAUCGAAGCUAACGCGUUAAGUUCGCCGCCUGGGGAGUACGGUCGCAAGACUGAAACUCAAAGGAAUUGACGGGGGCCCCCACAAGCGGUGGAGCAUGUGG